This 514-nucleotide ribosomal RNA is filed under the name Liopholis whitii (White's rock-skink). Its description in RNAcentral is "partial 16S ribosomal RNA". It matches the Rfam family "Bacterial large subunit ribosomal RNA", at positions 1837 to 2593 of the family's 2925-position model. The record is from RNAcentral. Lineage: Eukaryota; Metazoa; Chordata; Lepidosauria; Squamata; Scincidae.
AAACAAGUAUUAAAGGUCCCGCCUGCCCAGUGAAACAUUUUAAACGGCCGCGGUAUCCUAACCGUGCAAAGGUAGCGUAAUCACUUGUCUUCUAAAUAAAGACUAGUAUGAACGGCUAAAUGAGGACAAAACUGUCUCUUACAGCUAAUCAGUGAAACUGAUCCCCCAGUACAAAAGCUGGGAUAAAACCAUAAGACGAGAAGACCCUGUGGAGCUUUAAACUAACCGCUAAUAAACACUUACAAUAUGUUCCUAGCCUAAAGUUUUAAGUUGGGGCGACUUCGGAAAAAAAUAAAACUUCCGAGCACAGAACCACCACUUCUCACCAAGGCUGACAAGCCGAAGCUAAACCCGACCCAGUCACACUGACCAACGAACCAAGUUACCCCAGGGAUAACAGCGCUAUCUUCUUCAAGAGUCCCUAUCGACAAGAAGGUUUACGACCUCGAUGUUGGAUCAGGACACCCAAAUGGUGCAGCCGCUAUUAAAGGUUCGUUUGUUCAACGAUUCCGAG